GUGCCAGCCGCCGCGGUAAUACGGAGGGGGCGAGCGUUGUUCGGAAUUACUGGGCGUAAAGGGCGCGUAGGCGGCCCAUCAAGUUAGGCGUGAAAGCCCCGGGCUCAACCUGGGAAUUGCGCUUAAGACUGGUGAGCUAGAGUACGAGAGAGGAAAAUGGAAUUCCUAGUGUAGAGGUGAAAUUCGUAGAUAUUAGGAAGAACACCAGUGGCGAAGGCGGUUUUCUGGCUCGUAACUGACGCUGAGGCGCGAAAGCGUGGGGAGCAAACAGGAUUAGAUACCCUGGUAGUCCACGCCCUAAACGAUGAAUGCUAGACGUCGGGGGGUUACCCUUCGGUGUCGCAGCUAACGCAUUAAGCAUUCCGCCUGGGGAGUACGGUCGCAAGAUUAAAACUCAAAUGAAUUGACGG
This 410-nucleotide ribosomal RNA is filed under the name uncultured bacterium. RNAcentral's name for it is "bacterial SSU rRNA". It matches the Rfam family "Bacterial small subunit ribosomal RNA", at positions 505 to 916 of the family's 1533-position model. The record is from RNAcentral.